This 429-nucleotide ribosomal RNA is filed under the name Acidobacteriota bacterium. RNAcentral describes it as "Acidobacteria bacterium partial 16S ribosomal RNA". It matches the Rfam family "Bacterial small subunit ribosomal RNA", at positions 355 to 776 of the family's 1533-position model. Lineage: Bacteria; Pseudomonadati; Acidobacteriota. The record is from RNAcentral.
UGGGGAAUUUUGGACAAUGGGGGAAACCCUGAUCCAGCCAUCCCGCGUGUGCGAUGAAGGCCUUCGGGUUGUAAAGCACUUUUGGCAGGAAAGAAACGUCAUGGGUUAAUACCCCGUGAAACUGACGGUACCUGCAGAAUAAGCACCGGCUAACUACGUGCCAGCAGCCGCGGUAAUACGUAGGGUGCAAGCGUUAAUCGGAAUUACUGGGCGUUAAGCGUGCGCAGGCGGUUCGGAAAGAAAGAUGUGAAAUCCCAGAGCUCAACUUUGGAACUGCCUUUUUAACUACCGGGCUAGAGUGUGUCAGAGGGAGGUGGAAUUCCGCGUGUAGCAGUGAAAUGCGUAGAUAUGCGGAGGAACACCGAUGGCGAAGGCAGCCUCCUGGGAUAACACUGACGCUCAUGCACGAAAGCGUGGGGAGCAAACAGG